Molecule: ribosomal RNA, 596 nt
Filed under: Pseudomonas sp. enrichment culture
Lineage: Bacteria; Pseudomonadati; Pseudomonadota; Gammaproteobacteria; Pseudomonadales; Pseudomonadaceae
Description: bacterial SSU rRNA
Rfam family: Bacterial small subunit ribosomal RNA
Source: RNAcentral
AGAGUUUGAUCAUGGCUCAGAUAGAACGCUGGCGGCAGGCCUAACACAUGCAAGUCGAGCGGUAGAGAGAAGCUUGCUUCUCUUGAGAGCGGCGGACGGGUGAGUAAUGCCUAGGAAUCUGCCUGGUAGUGGGGGAUAACGUUCGGAAACGGACGCUAAUACCGCAUACGUCCUACGGGAGAAAGCAGGGGACCUUCGGGCCUUGCGCUAUCAGAUGAGCCUAGGUCGGAUUAGCUAGUUGGUGGGGUAAUGGCUCACCAAGGCGACGAUCCGUAACUGGUCUGAGAGGAUGAUCAGUCACACUGGAACUGAGACACGGUCCAGACUCCUACGGGAGGCAGCAGUGGGGAAUAUUGGACAAUGGGCGAAAGCCUGAUCCAGCCAUGCCGCGUGUGUGAAGAAGGUCUUCGGAUUGUAAAGCACUUUAAGUUGGGAGGAAGGGUUGUAGAUUAAUACUCUGCAAUUUUGACGUUACCGACAGAAUAAGCACCGGCUAACUCUGUGCCAGCAGCCGCGGUAAUACAGAGGGUGCAAGCGUUAAUCGGAAUUACUGGGCGUAAAGCGCGCGUAGGCGGUUAGUUAAGUUGGAUGUGAAA